RNAcentral lists this ribosomal RNA (253 nucleotides) under uncultured bacterium. RNAcentral's name for it is "partial 16S ribosomal RNA". It matches the Rfam family "Bacterial small subunit ribosomal RNA", at positions 524 to 776 of the family's 1533-position model. The record is from RNAcentral.
UACGGGGGGGGCAAGCGUUGUUCGGAAUUACUGGGCGUAAAGGGCGCGUAGGCGGUCUUGUCAGUCCCUUGUGAAAUCCCCCGGCUCAACUGGGGAACUGCACGGGAAACAGCAGGGCUUGAGUUCGGGAGAGGGAAGCGGAAUUCCGGGUGUAGCGGUGAAAUGCGUAGAUAUCCGGAGGAACACCGGUGGCGAAGGCGGCUUCCUGGACCGAUACUGACGCUGAGGCGCGAAAGCUAGGGGAGCAAACGGG